This 83-nucleotide unclassified non-coding RNA is filed under the name Pseudomonas migulae. Lineage: Bacteria; Pseudomonadati; Pseudomonadota; Gammaproteobacteria; Pseudomonadales; Pseudomonadaceae. The record is from RNAcentral.
GUAGGAGCCGGCUUGCUGGCGAUUCAGGCAACGCGGUGCCUGACACACCGAGUGGUCUGAAUCGCCAGCAAGCCGGCUCCUAC